RNAcentral lists this long non-coding RNA (1245 nucleotides) under Sorghum bicolor (sorghum). RNAcentral describes it as "long non-coding RNA (SBIC_LNC000602)". Lineage: Eukaryota; Viridiplantae; Streptophyta; Magnoliopsida; Poales; Poaceae. The record is from RNAcentral.
GCUUUCUCUCUCUCUCAAUUGUCUCUACCCCUCUCUCUGUACCUACCUCCACUCUUUCUUCUUCCUCUCCUCUCUCCCGGAGCUCUCUCUGUCUUUCUCUCCCUCUCACGUUCUCUCUCCCAUUCCGUCUCUUCCUCUCUCCCUCUUUCUUCCCUCUCUCUUCUUCCUCUGCUAUAUCUUCUCCCGUAGCUAUGAGUUGGCUAAACAUAUUUUUAGGUUUUAAAUCUUUCAGAUUCGUUUUCUACUUUAUCGCUGUUCUUCAUUGCAGUGUAUUUUGCUCUCUCAGAUCUUACCUUUUCUUUCUGUUACGGGGAUAUAUCCUUGCAUUUAUCGAAUUGCUCCAUUUGUUCACCAAAUCCUUUUUUUGUUGUAAAAAAUUCAGAUCCGUUCUUUGCUAUAUGGUUGUUAUUGACUGCGUUUUUUAUUUUGGUUCAUCACAUUUUACCUGUUUCUUCCAUUUAAGAUGACAAAUCCGUGCUUUCAUCCAAUUGCAGAUCUUUGUACACCUAGUGUUUUUUUGGUCCUGUUGACAUUUUAGUCAUUUUUUUUCACCCAGCCUCUCUCUUUCUUACUCAAGCACUGUUGCAUGAGAUUCAAUCUGCCACCCCUUUUGUCUAGCGUCUGCUUCCUCAGGUACUCUGUCAUAUUUAGAUGCUCACGAAUUUUGGUUUUUAGGGAUGCUUCUUAGGUCUGGCAAUAAAUUAGUCUAGCAUUUGUUUGCCAGAAACAUAUCUCAAGCUUUUUCUUUGACAAGAUAGGUUAAUUUUCAUUUAUAAUUUAUUACAUAACAUGAACAUUUAAUUCUUUACCUAGGAUCUAUCUUCAGAUCACUACUUCCUCUUCAGAUGAAGCUUGGGGAGAAAGCACUCGAUGAAGCUUGUUCCCCAAGGACGAGCUGCAGAAAGCACUCGAUGAAGCUUGGGGAGACAACAUUGUCAUCGACGAUGGUGAUGCUUAUCCCGAAGCCAGGGAUAUAUACUGAUUCCAGCACCAAGGAGGUGCGCUGCCAUCCAAGAUCUAAGUCUGCUUAGUCUGCUAAGGUUAUAUAUGCAACCAACCAAUUUAUCUAUGCCCCAUAACCUAUCAUCAGGAGUUGAUGGCAACACUUUAAUUAGUGUCUUAAUUAGUGUCAUGUUCUCAAUCAAUUUUACUUUGGAACUCAUGUCCGUCUCAUGUCAAUUUUACUUUGGAACUCAUAUCCGUCUCAUGUCAAUUUUACUUUGGAACUCAUGUCUUGUGUUCCAU